This 497-nucleotide ribosomal RNA is filed under the name uncultured bacterium. RNAcentral's name for it is "partial 16S ribosomal RNA". It matches the Rfam family "Bacterial small subunit ribosomal RNA", at positions 28 to 507 of the family's 1533-position model. The record is from RNAcentral.
GAUGAACGCUGGCGGCGUGCCUAAUACAUGCAAGUCGAGCGAACAGACGAGGAGCUUGCUCCUCUGACGUUAGCGGCGGACGGGUGAGUAACACGUGGAUAACCUACCUAUAAGACUGGGAUAACUUCGGGAAACCGGAGCUAAUACCGGAUAAUAUAUUGAACCGCAUGGUUCAAUAGUGAAAGACGGUUUUGCUGUCACUUAUAGAUGGAUCCGCGCCGCAUUAGCUAGUUGGUAAAGUAACGGCUUACCAAGGCAACGAUGCGUAGCCGACCUGAGAGGAUGAUCGGCCACACUGGAACUGAGACACGGUCCAGACUCCUACGGGAGGCAGCAGUAGGGAAUCUUCCGCAAUGGGCGAAAGCCUGACGGAGCAACGCCGCGUGAGUGAUGAAGGUCUUCGGAUCGUAAAACUCUGUUAUUAGGGAAGAACAAAUGUGUAAGUAACUAUGCACGUCUUGACGGUACCUAAUCAGAAAGCCACGGCUAACUACGUG